RNAcentral lists this long non-coding RNA (5598 nucleotides) under Nicotiana tabacum (common tobacco). RNAcentral's name for it is "long non-coding RNA (NTAB_LNC013413)". Lineage: Eukaryota; Viridiplantae; Streptophyta; Magnoliopsida; Solanales; Solanaceae. The record is from RNAcentral.
UAAGUAUGAGUUUAGUCGACUAGACUUUGCGCAACGAUUGAUUUCAGUCAAAAUAAACUAAAUGAGCAGAAAGAUAAAAAAGACACAACAAUUUUUAUACUGGUUCAGUACCGGUGUGGUACCUGUAUCUAGUUCCCUAGGGUCACAAGAGUUCUCUUAGAUCUUUGAUAAAUGUUUACAACAUCGAUGGUUUUAGUUCGUUCACCACCAACGAUAUACAAAAAUAGUAAUUCUUUCCAAUAUUGACACAACACUCAUUUUGUGUUCUAAUUCUUCCUAUCUUUUGUGACACUUGUAAACUCAAGAAUACAAUGUUUGUACUAAGAAUAAGAAAGGCUUAGAAACAGAUGAUGUAGUUACGUGAUCGAAUUCUUGAGUUGGCCAAUCUUCUUAUAGGAGUGUUUUGAGUAGCCGUUGCAGAUUUACCCUUGAUUGAGGCACAAAAUAUUCUAAGAGAUUUGACCCAAGGGGUGUCUCCGAAUCUUGCACAAGGGAUGGGGUGGAUUCGUUUACGUCCUUCCUUUUCAUAUCCAUAAUCAAGGGAGUGAUUUAUGGCUUGACUUGAUCGAGCAAUCUUCAGUAUCUCCAAAUUCCAAAUCAAUCCUUGAAGUAGGGCCUGAUUUCCUUUAGCGGCUGCACUUGAUUUGUUUCCUUUUUGAUAGCCUCGACGUCCUUUGAUUUAGCAUUGUUCUAACUUCCUUUAGUGCAUGUGCUUGAUUUUGUUUCCUUUUUGAUGGCCUUGACGUCCUUUGAUUUAGCAUUGUUCUUGUGGCAUUUGAUCUUGUUUCCUUUCUGAUGCCCUUACCAAAAGAACUUCCUUUAAAGUAGUAUUAUCCUCCUAAUUUCCUGCAAUUAAUUGGAUUAAAUGGAUACAGUUAGAUUUGCACUAUUGUCAUCAUUGAAACUUAGGUGUAACAAUCUCCUCUUUUUUGAUGAUGAUAAUCAAAAAGACUAAACAGAAUGGUUGGCUUAAACAGGUUGGUUGAGGAUUCAGACAUCCAAAAUCUUCCUUAUCUUUAGGCUGUUGUCAAGGAAACACUAAGGGGUCGUUUGGUAUGAGGUAUAAGUAAAAAUAGUACUCGUAUAAAAUUUAAUACCACCUUAUACCUUGUUUGGUUACCAAAUCUGGUAUAAGUUAUCCCGGAAUAACUUAUACCUCUUAAGAGGUGAGAUAAUUAAUGCUGGGAUUAUUAUCCCCCGACAAAAUAGCGAAAUUCACCAAAAUAGCCCUAAGGUCCUCAAACCCUUUUCUACAUCACUUUUUCCAUUCCUUACCCAAUAUUGGUAAAGCAAUGCCGCUACAAAUUACUCUGCUCUUGGGGAAGAUUUCUUCUCUUCUUUGGAUGCAGAAGCUAUGUUGUAGUGAUUGAAGAACAACUCUGAUAUUAUCUUCCAUUUUGCUUUUCCCACAAGGUUAAAACUUCUAUCAAAUUCUAUUUUUCUUAUUCUUUCUUGUUAUCAUUUAUAAGUUCCCUGUUGCAUAAUUUGGGUAUAGUCCUCUUCUCUACCAAAAUAGUAAAAAUCUGAAACAAUUAAAAUCAGUAGUAUUAUACAUGGCAAUUAGCUAUCUUUCAUAUGAAGGAAACAGGGAUUAAAGUAAGGAAGAAGAUUUAGAAGAAAAAAUCAACAGAUAUAUUUCAAAUAAUUGAAAACUAGAGCCUCAAAAAGUUAUUUAAUACUUGUUGAUGUAAGAAUUGGCAAUUGCCGUAUGUCAAUUGGAUAAAGGAGCAAGAAGAUGGAGGCUAAAUAAGAUGGAGGGUAUUUUUGUAAACAAAAAACUUCCUUUUAAAAAUUAUGCAAUGCAUGUUAUUUUUAAUACAACAUACCAAAAAGUAGAUAAAAAAUAAUACGGGAAUAACUAAUCCCAACAUAACUUAUCCCAACAUAACUUAUCUUAGCAUAAGAGAUUUUCAAACCAAACGCCCCUAAGAGUGCAUCCCCCAUUGCCCUUAGUGUUCCGAAAAUGUAGAGAAGAUUGUGUGGUCAAUGGUUACAAAAUACCUAAAAAUUCUUAGACUUUUGCUAAACAUUUAUGCAAUUAAUAGGGACCCCAAUGUAUUAGUUAAAAAUAGACUCGCCAUGUGAGUCUAUUAAAUGGCGACACGUGUUAGCAAAGUUAUGAGAAAAGUAAAGAAUGAUAUGUAAAGAUGAUAUAUAAAGCACCUACGGGGUCGAACAUACUCGUACUGUGCCUGUUAGUCUCAGAAUUGAUCAUCAUAGAAUAGCCCCGGAUCAUGUACGGGAGAAUAGGCUCCUCGUCAUGGACCUUGAGAUCACGAGGAAGAGGGCGAUGUAUAAACAACAUAGGAUUAAGUUGGGAGCCUUGACAGAAGCUAAAGCACAGGAGUUGGGGGUCAAGUUGGUGACUAUGAGGGCUUGGAGGAGUAAUGGAGAUGCAAGCUCUACAUGGACCACGAUUGUGCAAUGCAUUAGGGAAGCCGCGAAAGAGGUAUUAGGGGUCUCAAAGGGUUACUCUGGUGGUCACAAGAGAGACUGGUGGUGGAAUGGAGAUGUGCAAGGAAAAGUAGAAACCAAGAAAGCAGCGUAUUUGAAACCAGUGGAGAGUGUAAACGAGUAGGAGAAGAGGGCGAAUAGGGAGCAUUAUAAGUUGGUUAAGAAAGAGGCAAAACAAGCAGCUACGGCGGCCAAGACUACAACUUUAAGUCGUUUGUAUGAGGAACUCUAGGGACGAGGUGGGGAUAAGAGGUUGUUUAGGUUAGCCAACGCAUGAGAAAGGAAGGCGCGUGACUUUGACCAAGUAAAGUGCAUCAAGGACGAAUAAGGUAGAGUUUUGUUGGAUGAGGGGCUUAUCCGUCGAAGAUGGCAUACCUACUUCCAUAGUCUCUUGAACGAGGAGGGGACAUGAGCAUUGUACUGGGUGAUUUGGAACUCUCUGGGAGUUGUUGUGACUUUGAGUAUUGUAGGUGGAUUAGAGUUGAUGAAGUUGAGGAGGCUAUGCGUAAGAUGAGCAAGAGCAAAACGACCAGGCCGGAUGAAAUCUCGGUGGAGUUUGGGAGUGCGGGCAAGGCAGGCUUGGAAUAGCUCACUAGGUUAUUUAAUGUCAUUUUAGAGCGACGAAGAUGCCCGAAGAGUGGAGGUAGAGCACGAUGGUUCCUAUAUACAAGAACAAGGUUGAUAUCCAAAAUUGUAAUAACUAUCGGGGUAUCAAGCUGCCUAGCCAUACUAUGAAAGUCUGGGAGAGAGUGGUAGAGCUAAGGAUGAGGAGAAGUGUGUUUAUUUUAGAGAACCAGUUUGGGUUUAUGCCGGGGCGUUCGACAACAGAAGCCAUCCACUUUGUUAGGAGAUUGAUGGAGCAGUAUAGGGAGAGAAAGAAGGACUUACAUAUAUGUCACACCUCCUUUUUACACACCCGAGGGGGUAAUAUAAGGGAGUUUUUCCAAUUUAACUGACAUUAUUCGAAAUGGGAUUAUUUAUUUAUCAGAGUCACCACUUAGGAUAGUUUAUUUGGUGUCCCAAGUCACCGGUUUAUUUUAAAAUCUCAAAUCGAGGAAAUUCGACUUUUAUUUUAAAGUCUGUGAACCAGAAAUUUUAGAUAAGGAAUUCUGUUAACCCAGGAGGUGUUAGGCAUUCUCGGGUUCCGUGGUUCUAGCACGGUCGCUUAAACUAUUAAUAUUGGCCUAUUAUCUGAUUUACUAUAUGUUUUAAACCUAUUAUGUAUUUUUAACUUUAUAACCACAUUUUAAUUAUUUUAAACCGCUUUUAAGAUUUAUGGAUUUAUUUCUUUUUUGAACAAGUUAUGAUUGUCGUACGCUUGUUUGUUUUGAAAUACGACGCAAAUUACGCUACAUGAAAUGCACCCGCGAUUCGCGAUAUAUUUAUUUAUUAUUGUUGAGAAAUCGAAAUUACGUCACAUGAAAUGUACACCCGGAUUUUAGUAGUUAAAAAUCACAACUACAUUAUGAGAAUCGUACCCGUAACUAUGAUGAAUUAUUUAAAUAACCCUCCCAAAGCAACUACGAAGAUUCAAUUUUCAAUAGCAACAUUUGUGAGGGCCAUGGAUGAUUUAAUUGACGGUACACCUCAAUUUUUACAAGGAUUGAAUUAAUUUCAUGAGGGCCAUGGGUUAUUAAAGGGAAAAUGGCACACCUCAAAUGUUCUACAAAAAUUAACUAAUUAUAUGAGGGCCAUAGCUUAAGGGUUUUGUUGGCAUGACACGCCUCAAAUUAUUCCAAAGGGUUUUAUUAUUCGAAAUUGUUAUAAUCGUGUUACAUGAAAUGCAUCCCUGAAUUUUGGAAUUAGGAAUCAUAACUAUGUCACGGGAACCGUACCCAUAGUCACAAUGAUUUAUUAUUAAUCGCGCCUAAAGCAAGCUACGGGGUUUAUAAUUAGUUCUUUCUAAGUUUGAGAUUAUUGUAAAGUUUAAGAAUUAUAGAAAUUGCAACAUGGUAGAAAAAAUGUAUAAUUCGUUACUUGGCUUAGAGUUUUAACACUAAUUGCAUUCAGUUAUCGGAGUCCAUGUUAAUUAACAAAUCAGUCCAUGGUCAAUUGAAUUGCAAAUUAUAAAAAAGUCAGUAGCUCUCAUGUUCUAACUACAAUGUAACAGAAUCUUGAAGAUAAUACUCGAACUUCAAAUCCCAUUUCAAGGAGACAAAUAAUAUUUAUAUUUUAACAAACCCAAACACACUAAUCUAUAUCACAAAAAUUUCACUCCUUCCACGUGUAUAAAAAUCUGUUGUUAUGACCUUGAAUAUUUUAUAAAAUCAAAAACCAAACUUCAAAUAAGAUUCUAUUUGGCAUCAACUUGGUAGACAAGUCACAUUAUAAGUAAAAAAAAAUAAAUUAAAAGGUAGGUCACAUGUAGACAAGAGUAAAUCUAUUCAUUUUUGUACUGUUAACAGAAAACUCAACUAAGCAACAUAAGUAAUUGACUUCAAAUUCAGAAUUAUCUGAAUAUGCAGAGGACAUUUGAACGGAUGCGUAAAUAACUUAAUUGAAAACAGAUAAAACACAUAACCCCCACCCCUCCAAAUUUCGUUCCAGACUUAGAAAACGUGAAUAAGUGAAAUAAAUGCAAAUGUCAUAGCAACAUGAGAAACGGACUAGGAAAUAGUCACAUGUUCAAAUAAUAACAAGUGAAUAGGCUAAAAAAGACAUCUAGAAUUACAUAUCCAAAACUAGAUCUGAAGGCAUUUUAAGGAAUACAUACCUAGUAGCACAAGGUUCAAAUUUAGAAAAGGGAAAAGAGCCAAGUAAAUGCCGACAUCAGAAAUCAGAGCUCAGCAGCCAGCACUACCUAAAUCAGUAAACAAACAACUCCGCUACAGCUUCAAACAACCUUGAGAAUCCCCGAAAAACUACGAGGACAUGAAAUUGAAGCGUUGAAUCAAGCUAUAUGAUUUUACUUCACAAUUUGAUUAUUUCUUUCUAAAAAAAUUUGGAGCUUAGUCACGGAAAAUGCUAAAGUUCUUUUAGUAGCUCUCUUAGGCAUGUUCUUUUCUGAGAAUGAGGUGAGAAAUGGGGAAAGCUGCACUGAUUUCUUUCUCUCCUCUCUCUUGCGUCGCUGUCCCUAUUUUUGAGGAGAGAGUCCGAUCCUUUUUUUGUCCAGGAGAGGAUCCCCUUUAUUAGGUCCUUUUAUUU